UCUUUCUCUCUCCUUGUUGUGAUCUCCUGUCUCGUGUCAUAUAAAAACUUAGCUCCAUAAUUACCGCUAACUACAGAAAAUGGGUACAUGGAAUGCUUGAGGGAACUGAAUCUAAUAAGUUGGAGUUGAUCCAUUCAAGAGGACUACUAGAGUAGGAUACUUCAUGCCUAUUUGAGAUUCCAUAUGCAUAUCUGAGAUUGGUGUCCUGGUUGAACUACUAACUGUUUGUACAUCUUUACUUGAAACAAUUUGGUUUGGUACAUCGUUGGUUGAAGAGGGCUUCCAGUCUCUUUCAGUAAUGAUCCCCGACCAAGGUGCUCAGUAGUUUCUUCUCCGGUGACUUGCAGCAAAUUGGCCACUACAUUUGUUAUCGGCUUUGAUUAUGAUUGUAUCUAACUUCAGUAGUUUGUAAUUCAUUUUCUUAAAUCUCGGUUUCACUGGAUAAUAGGACUAGUACUAGUAUUAUGUGUUCUCUGUUUGAUUUCUUAUUCCCUAACUUGAGGUUUGAAAUCUUCUCUGCCAUGGGGAUUUUAAGAUUGGGUCAUGCUCUUAUCGGCGUUUACCGCAAGAUUGAUGGUGAUUUUUUCCGGCAGAAUCAGAAGUUCCGUCACUUCUCCGGCGUGUUCAUUGUUCUCUGUGGAAGAAUUUUUCCAGUCAACAUAUUUUCAACAAUCCUUAGAAUCUUCUUUUUGUUGUUGGUUGUGCUCAGUAUUCGAAUUGCCUCAUGGGUUUGGUUUGCAUUUUUUGGCAGAGAAUCAAUCACAGCUUUUCAUCAGCUUCAUAUAUAACCACUGAUCAAUUGGAAGUGUUAACAACAGCUUUGGCAUCGGCUUCAAAUACACCGACAGGUUUCAGAUCUGCUAUAUUUUUUAUUUAUGGUGUUGAGAGAAUUUCCAUAUCUCUUGUGUUAGAUUUAGUAUGUAUUGCUAUUAUGUUGGUCCUCUUGUUAUAGUUUUACCUGUUUUAGGCUUAGAAAUGAAAACAAAGACAAUACCAACUCGAUCA
Long non-coding RNA from Papaver somniferum (opium poppy), 1005 nucleotides. RefSeq lists it as uncharacterized. The record is from RefSeq and is a predicted model, not a curated record. Lineage: Eukaryota; Viridiplantae; Streptophyta; Magnoliopsida; Ranunculales; Papaveraceae. The transcript is spliced from 2 exons.